Molecule: ribosomal RNA, 458 nt
Filed under: uncultured bacterium
Lineage: Bacteria
Description: partial 16S ribosomal RNA
Rfam family: Bacterial small subunit ribosomal RNA
Source: RNAcentral
CCUACGGGUGGCAGCAGUGAGGAAUAUUGGUCAAUGGGCGAGAGCCUGAACCAGCCAAGUCGCGUGAGGGAGUACUGCCCUAUGGGUUGUAAACCUCUUUUGUCGGGGAGCAAAAGCCGGACGUGUCCGGCUGUGAGAGUACCCGAAGGAAAAACAUCAGCUAACUCCGUUCCAGCAGCCGCGGUAAUACGGGGGAUGCGAGCGUUAUCCGGAUUUAUUGGGUUUAAAGGGUGCGCAGGCGGAUUUUUAAGUCAGCGGUAAAAUCGGGGGGCUCAACCCCAUCCAGCCGUUGAAACUGGGGAUCUAGAGUGUGCGAGAGGUAUGCGGAAUGCGUGGUGUAGCGGUGAAAUGCAUAGAUAUCACGCAGAACCCCGAUUGCGAAGGCAGCAUACCGGUGCACAACUGACGCUCAGGCACGAAAGCGUGGGUAUCGAACAGGAUUAGAUACCCGUGUAGUC